CGGCGCUGCGGCUUCCCCGACAAAAUGGCCGAUGGAGACUAUUUAGCCGAGCCCGCCGCCCCGCCCACGUGCUUGCCCGCGCCAGGAAUUCUGGGACUUGUAGUUUCCCAGAGGCAGCAUGGCUGGGAAAACCUGGGGCCGGUGGGUUUCCGGAACCGCAAUUCCCAGCAGGGAGUUCGCGCCCAGCGCUGGCCCGCAGGACCAGGACGGUCCGGGUGGGUGCAGCGCUACCCGCGAGAGCCCGCAGGUCGGGACCGUCCACUCCGCGCGCUCGCAGGCUCUCCUCACCCUAGAGCGGCGGCACCUAGGGGUCAGAGCUGGGGGUAAUCCCCAUCGGUCACCCUGGAGGCCGGGACUGGUUUGACAUAACCACAGCCUAAAGCCAGACCGCCAUGGCCAUCCAGGUGAACCAACUUCGUUUUAAGCACCUGCUCUGUUCCGGGCUCUGUGUGGGACACAUGGAACUCUGUCUUCAGGGAGGUUUCAGGACUUGAUCCCAACAAACUGGAUCCAUCUGGAUAACUUCUUUGAGGUUGCCAGUGUUUGAAGUGGACAUUAAAGUCUUCCAGUCCUUAGAAAGCUCUUUAAAAUGCAACUCUACUUACCUGCAUUUUAUCAUCAUUAUAACUCGGUUGCAGAGACAGAAGGCUCAGGCAACCAACUGUUCUGUCAAAUGCAAAUUUUGUAUGGGAAAUACUUCUGGGAGAAAACAGAGCGGCCGUCAUGCGAGAAGUUAUUUUUAAAGGACUAGACCAAAUGGCUCCUGUACUUGAAAGUUUUAUCAAAAAUUUCAAUGAAUAGAGGAAACUUUGUGGAAGAUAACACAAGCACACAUUGAAAUAGAUAGAUGCCCUCCUCCAAAUGUAACCAAAGUUUCAUAUGUAAAUUAUGAAACAUCAAAAAUAACUAGCUCAAUGUUUAUUUGUGUGCAUCCUUGAUGUUGACAUGUGGGUUUACUUUUGAUACUCAUCUUCAUUUCAUCUCUAACACAAGGACUAAACUAAGGCGGUAAAACUAACUUUUCAGGUAGUAUUGCUGCAUAACAAACCACCCCAAAUUUCGAUGGUUUCAUAAAGCAGUGAUUUAUUCUCACUCAUGUGUACAGGUUGGCUGAGGUGGCUCUGCCAUCUCAGCUGGGCUCCCUGAGCUUGGCUGUAAGGCUGCAUCUUGAACCUGGGUCUGUUCCUUGGACCCGUGGGCUCCCUACGGCAUGUUCUCAUGGUGAAGGGCAACAUGUAAGUGGACAAACACAACUCCAUCAACGUAUGUCAAGCCCCUUAUGUCCCUCUUCUUCUAACAUCUCAUUAGCUAAAGCAACUCACACGGCCAAGUCCAAACCAAGGGUUGGAGAAUACUAUGGUCUGAAGGUUUGUGUCCCUCCGUAAUUCAUAUGUUGAAACCUAAUCCCUAAGGUGAUGAUAUUGGGAGGUGAGGCCUUUGGGAGGUGCUAGGUCACGAGGGCUCCUCCCUCAUGUUUGGGGUAAGUGUCCUAUUAAAAGAGGCCCUAGAGGGAUCUCUUGAGCUCUUCCACCGUGCGAGGAAACGGGGUAGGUCGGCAGUCUGUGACAGGUUUUACCGGAUUCCAACUAGCACCCUAAUCUUGGACUUAAGAACUGGGAGAAAUAAAUUUCUGUUGUUCAUAAACUUCCCAGUCUCUGGUAUUUUGUUACAGCAGCCUGAACAGACUAAGACAAAGAAGUAUGCUCUGCCAACCAUAAAGGCAAGUGGCAUGGUCAAGCCCAACUUUAGUGGGGCGGGGUAGUGCACUCUUCCCAGAAUUAGCGGGUUAGAGGGAGUGAAUAUUGGAAGAACAAUAAUCUUGUCUACUCACAAUAGAAAAAUUGAGGCACAGCAAUUUGCAUCAUAAGUCCUGGUGCUGAUACUUAAGUGAUUUUCUUAUCCUAAGAGAAAAGGAGGACACAAGCGUCGAGUAUCGAUAGUUACCAAACAUUCUGCUGGGGGGUUUCUCAUGUGCUAUUUCAUUCAACCUUUCACACCAGCAUGAGGAAGGGAUCUGUGACCCCACUGAACACAUGAGGUGAUUGGCCGCAGAGCUG
This is a long non-coding RNA of Myotis davidii, 2057 nucleotides long. RefSeq lists it as uncharacterized. The transcript has 3 exons. NCBI's taxonomy places the organism in Eukaryota, Metazoa, Chordata, Mammalia, Chiroptera, Vespertilionidae. The record is from RefSeq and is a predicted model, not a curated record.